GAUGAACGCUGGCGGCGUGCCUAAUACAUGCAAGUCGAGCGAACAGAUGAGGAGCUUGCUCCUCUGACGUUAGCGGCGGACGGGUGAGUAACACGUGGAUAACCUACCUAUAAGACUGGGAUAACUUCGGGAAACCGGAGCUAAUACCGGAUAAUAUAUUGAACCGCAUGGUUCAAUAGUGAAAGACGGUUUUGCUGUCACUUAUAGAUUGAUCCGCGCCGCAUUAGCUAGUUGGUAAGGUAACGGCUUACCAAGGCAACGAUGCGUAGCCGACCUGAGAGGGUGAUCGGCCACACUGGAACUGAGACACGGUCCAGACGCCUACGGGAGGCAGCAGUAGGGAAUCUUCCGCAAUGGGCGAAAGCCUGACGGAGCAACGCCGCGUGAGUGAUGAAGGUCUUCGGAUCGUAAAACUCUGUUAUUAGGGAAGAACAAAUGUGUAAGUAACUAUGCACGUCUUGACGGUACCUAAUCAGAAAGCCACGGCUAACUACGUG
Molecule: ribosomal RNA, 497 nt
Filed under: uncultured bacterium
Lineage: Bacteria
Description: partial 16S ribosomal RNA
Rfam family: Bacterial small subunit ribosomal RNA
Source: RNAcentral